Molecule: long non-coding RNA, 847 nt
Organism: Oncorhynchus tshawytscha (Chinook salmon)
Lineage: Eukaryota; Metazoa; Chordata; Actinopteri; Salmoniformes; Salmonidae
Exons: 4
Source: RefSeq, a predicted model, not a curated record
UGCCCACUCUGUACAUGAACUGAUCAUUCACUCUCGGAUUGGUUAUUGAUAUCUGCACUAGCCAAUAAGGCCCGGUGCUCUUGGAUCCCUAUAUAUGCAGUCAGUCCCCAUGACUGUUCCUUUCAGUUGACAUAAGAGUGGGAUUUAUGGCAGUGUAUUCAUGGAGUGCGCGUGUAAAAGGUGACUUCACAACCAUUUCUUGCCCAGGGACCCCCUCCCAGGCAAACCGGUGACCCAUGGACUCCCAUCAUACAUUAACAAAAACAUCAUCAGGGCAUGGCUAGUCAGCAUGGCUACUCUGGCCUGUGGCUGGACAGCGAUUUUGGCAGUGGGCAUAGCCGAGCACGGCCUCACUGCAGCAGCUAUAGCAGCCCUCGGCUCUCUGCUGAGGAGGACUUCACCAAUGACUCUCUGGACACCCUGGACUCUCCCUGAGGAGGAAGAGGUGGAGAUAGAGGCACAUUUAUUAAAGGAAGUAACCUACCACAUAUGGUAGGUUACUUCCUGGAUGACAGUCAGGUUGGGGUGUUCUGUUGAAGGUAGAGACAGGAGGCAAGAGGAGCAUCCUUGAUGCUGGCCAUGAUGGAGAUUGCAGUGAAGACCCUUCAUAGCCAGGAUCAGAGGAGUGCAAUGGAUAAUGAGAGGAAUGACUUAAGGUUCUGAUUGAGGAUUUUCUGCUUUUCAAAUGGACGUGUAGAAAUUAUGGGGAUUUAUCACAAUUUCUUCUCAGACAAGACAUUUCAAGUUGAAGAAGGAGUGUGCUAUCAAAUCCAAAUUUAUUUGUCACAUGCACCGAAUACAACAUUUCACCUUACCGUGUAAUGCUUACUUAUAAGCCCUUAACCAA